RNAcentral lists this long non-coding RNA (6103 nucleotides) under Capsicum annuum. RNAcentral's name for it is "long non-coding RNA (CANN_LNC004009)". Lineage: Eukaryota; Viridiplantae; Streptophyta; Magnoliopsida; Solanales; Solanaceae. The record is from RNAcentral.
GUUCUAUUACCCUUCUGAACUAAAUUUUAGCAUAUUUUUAUUUAUCUUUUUUAGUUGACGUAACACUUUUGAUAUGAGUUUUUUUGAUGAAAAAAAUAUGCUAAAAUUGAGUUCAGGUAUAAUAAAACUCUUUUGAAGUUUUGAUCAUAGUUCGAGGGGUAUUGGAUGCUUAUCUCUUUUAAAAAUACAGAUAGUGUAGUUUAUUUCUUUGUGACUUAUUAUGUGUUAUUUGAAACGGAGAAUAGGAUAAAGUCUUCGUACACUCUAUACUCUCAAAACUCCUCUUGCAUGAAUACACUGGAUAGAAUCUUUCGAAAAUGACCUCUUUUGUCUAACGAGAUAGGGAUAAAGUCUACACACUUUAUACUCAUCAGACCCACUUGUGUGAACAAGUUGAGUAUGUUAACGUCGUUAUAUUUUAUUUUGUUAUAGCAGGAUCGGGGAGUUCACUUAAUGACUCUCUAUGGCAUGUAAUUUGACUUAUUUUUUUAGGUUACUGAUCUACUUUUAUAGAAGGCUACCUGUGGGAUUACGUUGAGUUUGGAAAUUAAUUAGUGUGUCUCAUGUUAACAUAUUGCAGUGUACAAGAAACAUUACCCACCAGCACUAGGAGAUGAAGUGUGGCGUCUUGAGAAAAUUGGAAAAGAUGGAAUUUUUCACAAAAAGCUCUCUCUAAAUGGCAUCAACACUGUACAAGAUUUCUUGAAGUUGGCCACCAUUGACACACCACAGCUUAGAAAUGUAAGCCUUUACUGAGACAAAAACAAAUCUCAAUUAAAAUGAAUUACAAAUAUAGUUACUUAAUUGUUUGUGGUUCGGUCCUUCCCCCGAUUCGUGCACCGAACUGUUCUUUUACUUAUUGUUUGUGAAUAUACAGAUGCUGGGAACUGGAAUGUCAGAAAAAAUGUGGGAAGUGACAUACAAGCAUGCAAAAACUUGUGAUAUGGGCUCAAAGUUAUACAUGGCUCGUGGGCCAAACUAUUUACUCAUACUCAAUCCAAUUUGUCAAGUGGUUAGGGCAAUUAUUGAUGGGCAAAUUUAUCCUAUUCGUGAAUUAACAGGAAUACAAAAGGUAAAAAAAAAUAAAAAUUGUGAUUUUGUAUGCACUUUGAGAGAGUUUGAUUCUUGAGAUAUUGUAAAUUUUGUACGUGAACAGUUCUUUUAAUAUCUAUACAACUGUAUUAACAGGCAUAUAUCCAGAAUUUGGUGAAGGACGCCUACGCCAAUUGGAGUUCCUUGGAAGAAGUUGAUGGUCUAGUGAAUGAGCCAGCACUACUAACUCAAGGUACUUCUUCGGGCCAGCUCGACUAAUUGAGUAAAUCUGUCUAUCUAAACUUGAUCAGAUGACAAGAAAUCACUCAGCGUUUUUAGCCAUUCCUAGAAUUUGAACCUGAAAACUCAUGAUUUUCCCGCGGUUGAGUGCUUAAUUUCCUUAACCUUACCUAAUAGUGUCACAUAUAGCAACCAUGCACAAAAAAAGUUUGCUUUGUUCUUUUUUGUACUCCUACUAAAGAUUAUAUAAAGAGGUCUUUUUCAAAAAACACAAGUUUUUGGAAUUACUAGUAUGAGUCAACGCUCUAAUUUGCUUCAAUAUUUUAGUACACUGUGCUGUUGGUUAUCAACUACCACUAAUACAUAAUAUAAUGAUUUUGUCAUAUGAACAGGAGAACCAACGAUGGAUCGGUAUCCAAAUGUUCAGCAACAACCGCUGAUACGAACCUAUCAGCGAAACACAAUUUUGACAGAUGCAUCUGAUGAACAAUUAGCUGAAUACAAUGACUGGAUUGUUAAUCCCAACUAUAUUUGCACUCUUGCUGAUAACAACACUGGUGGUUACUUUUCAGACGGAUCUUCUAAUAGACAAUUAUUGCGCUAAAUUUGCAUUGUCAGCAUAUAAAAUUAACUGAAUUCUUCUAAGAAGAUGAAGACACUGAAGGAAUGAAAUUUAUGCAUCAGGUGUACAUAGUGUGCAGGAACAAAUAUUUUGCCCAAAUAAGGGGCUGAAAAUUGUUGUAGAAAUUGCGCCACCCCUUUGUAAAAGAUGUGUGGACUGGCUAUAGUAUGUAGAGGUAUAUGUCUCAAGUUUUUUUUUUCUUUUUAAGAUUCAAACUUGAAUUAUCUAUUGUAGAGAGGUACUGUUCAUGUUAAUUGAAUGAAACAAAUUAAUGCAAAUGUUUACUUUGAUUAUGCAUCAAGCUAUGACUUAGUUUCUUUUACACCCUCUUCUUGUUGCUAAGGGAAUUCAUAGUCGCUGUCUUUUGAAUGCACAGGGUAAAUUCUGCUUUAUUGUACUUUAUGACUUGCAUUAUUGACAAUAAUUUUGUUAAGUCUUCAUUUUAUCCCAUGAAAAGUGGAUUCCAAAUUUGUGAUUGUGAUUUAAAAAGAAAUUUCAUACAUUAUUUUUCUGGUGAAUAAAUAAAGUAGCUGAACAAGAGAAAUAGUUAAGUAACAAUUUUGAUCGUACAAUUAAUGUCAAUGGUAGUGUGAUGAGGGUUGUUGGAUCGAAAAAUUGCCACUAACUAUAUAAUAUUUAUAAUUUUGUCUACUGAUAUCUUUAAAAAAAAUAAAAAUAAAUCAAGCUAAGCAUGGUGUUUCUUGUAUGUAUUGCACAUAUUUAAUUACUACUACAAAUUAAAUAAGUACAAUAAUUUUUUUGUCCCGAUUUAGAUAUUUUUGAUUUUGGAGGAAUUAUUACUUGAGAAGUUGGAGAGUUCUUUUUGUAUAUUGGUGAGUAAAGUUAAUAGAAUUCUUUAAAGAAAGAAAUAUUUCUUUGAUUGGAAAUUGCUGAAAUUAAAGCAACAUUUCUUUGAUUGGAAAUUGCUGAAAUUAAAGCAACAUCCUUAGAUAUACAUAAACUUUCGUUUAAUAUAUAUUCCUACUAGAUAGUGGUAACUACUCUCUUACCGUUUCAUAUUAGUACCUUUUUUGUAUGAAACUUCUAAUUUAUGAAAUAUAAUUUUUAUAUCUUAUUCCACUUCUUUAAUAUAUUUAUUUAAAUUUAGACAAUUAUUAUUGUACAACAUGUGAAUUUCUCUAAGAAAAAACUCACCAACCAUGAUAUAUAGAGAACACUCACUGAAGAUAUACAAUUUUAUGAACGAUUUAGUGAACGAUUCAUGUAUAUUUGACGACGUAACAUUCGUAUUCGAUAAUAUUUUAAUAGUGAUAUAAUCAUUACUCAAUAAUGUAGUUAUAAUGAUUAGUAACAUAUAUAUUUUGUUUGAUGAUUUAAACUCUUUUAACCAAGAAAAAAGAUUUAUUUUAGCGCACAAACUUAAUAGUCAUUCAUGAAUAUAUAUAUAUUGCAACUGUAUUGAUAAACGUUGAUAAACGUCUCCCAGUCAUUAAUUAUGAAAUUGCAUCAUUAUAUAUAAUGUUAUCAAAAGUGUGGGGGGAGGGGGGGAAAAUAAUUUUGCAUAAAAUUUGCUUUUAAAAUAAAAAUUAAUAGAUAUAUAAACAGUAAAUUCUAAUAUUAUAUUAACAAUAUAUAUAUAUUAAAAAUGAAUCAAAAAAUAUAUAUGUUAAUUUGAAUUUGAAUUAUUUUAGAAAUAAAAAUUAAUAAUACUAACAACUUUAAGGUUAUUUCAGAUAUUUUGACCAAAAAAAUGCUUAACAACACUUGUUUACCAAACACAUCAAUAAUUUUUUUUUUUUUAGUUUCAGCACUUUUAUCCAAACACAUAACUGUUUAAUUUUAUUUUUAUAAUAAAUUUCAACACAUUUUAAAAGUCAUUUUCUUUCUACUUAUCCAAACGGGCUCAAAGUGGUUACAUCAGUCUGCCUUACAUCACUCGGGAGUCGAGAAUAUUUAAGCCUCUCUUGCCGCGCUAUUUCUUUCUUCAUUCCUCGAAACUUCAUUAAUUACCAAAUGUAAACCUUAAUAUACAUUUUAUAACCUAUGGUUUUAUUCUUUUAUUAUUAAACCAUCUUUUCCCAUUAAUUACAUACACUCAUUCCCUAUAUAUAGUUCCAUUCUUACCCAUUCCUCAUCAUCAUUUUCUUGUUUUGCACUGAAAAUUUCUUGAGCUUAUCACACUUCACUCCUCAAAAAUGGCAGCUAAACGAUUCUUUGAUGACUCCGACCCCGACCCGAACCAACGGAAUAACAAACGGAUAAAAUCUACCGCUACUAGACCUUCUUUCGCUUCGUAUGUCACUACUUUUUUAAAAUAUCACUUAAUUCAUGUCGAUAUAUAUAUAGCGUACCUAUUUAAAUUUCAAAAUUGUGUGACUUGUUGCUGUUUGUUUGUUUGUUAUUAUUUGCAGUGUCAUUAAAGAAGUGGUUAUGGUGAAUUUCCUAGACAAUGUCUCUUCCGCCUUGGAACCCAUGCUCCGUCGAGUGGUAUGACCUUUAAUAUUUGAAUAAAUUUUGCGUAUGAUCACUGAACCUUAUCGUUUUAUAUCAACAAUUAAUUUUGGUACGUGCAUUUAGCAGGUUAAUGAAGAGGUGGAAAAAGGACUGAGGCGUUAUUCAUGCCGUACAAUAAGUAGAUCUCCUUCACUGCGAAUCAAAGCAUUAGAGCCGUCAAUUCUCCGUCUCAUCUUCAACAAAAAUCUCCAUCUUACAAUCUUCACCGGCAGCAAAAUCACCGGCGUCGAUGGACGGAAUCUCCAAAUUCUACUGGUGGAUACAAGCGGCGAAGGCAUGGUUCCGACGACUUUACCGUAUCCUAUAAAAGUAGAAAUCGUCGUACUCGACGGAGAUUUCCCUUCUGAAACGAAUUGGUCACGUGAUGAAUUCGACAAAAAUAUCGUUAAGGAGAGAACUGGAAAGAGGCCAUUGCUUACCGGUGAACUCAAUUUCACGAUGCGUGACGGCGUCGCUACCGUUGGGGAAAUCGAAUUCACUGAUAAUUCGAGCUGGAUUAGGUGCCGGAAAUUCAGAAUUGGUGCAAAAGUGGUUCAAACUGGGAAUAAUCAAAAUACUGUUCGAAUUACAGAAGCCAUUACUCAAGCUUUUAUGGUUAAAGAUCACCGCGGAGAAUGUAAGCAAUCUCUUUUUAUUAUCACAUAAUUGAAAUUUCGAGAUUUAAACUUUGAAUAUGGACAUAAAAACUUUUUAAUUUUUUUUUUGUAUAAAUAAAAUACAUAUAUUUUAAAGGAAUUGACUGUUAAAACAGCGGAGAGAGUAAGCAAUUUCAAUUUUUUUCUCUUUUUGUAGUCAAAGCUAAUUUUUCUAACUUAACAAGCAUCCAUGACUCAUUAUUCUGAUUUCUAGCCUCAGAAUUUCUUAAAUUACAAAAGGACCUAAGUUAUAUAAUACUAGAUAGUUUUAGUUGUUUUUAAAAAAUAGAGGUACUGUAGUUUAUUCUGUCGUGACUUAUUAUGUGUUGUUUUAGUUGAUAAAGUCUUCGUACACUCCGUACCCUCAGAACGCCACCUAUUUGAAUACACUAGAUAGAAUCUUUUGAAAACAACCUCUUAUUAUGUGUUAUUUGAGUCCGAGAAUAGGAUAAAGUCUUUGUACACUCUAUACUCUCAAAACGCCGCUUGUGUGAAUACAGUGGGUAGAAUCUUUCCUAAACCUCUUAUUAUGUGUUAUUUGAGUCUGAGCAUAGAAUAAAGUCUCUGUACACUCUAUACUCUCAAAAAGCCACCUGUGUGAAUACACUGGGUAGAAUCUUUCAAAAACAACCUCUUAUUAUGUGUUAUUUGAGUCCGAGAAUAGGAUAAAGUCUUUGUACACUCAAUACUCUCAAAAUGCCACCCGUUUGAAUACACUGGAUAGAAUUUUUCGAAAACAAUCUCUUUUAUCUAACUAGACAAGAAUAAAGUCUACACACUUUAUACUCUUUAGACCCACCCAUGUGAAUAUGUUGAGUAUGUUACUGUUGUUAUAUUUUAUUUUGUUGUAGCGGGGUCGAGGAGUUCACUUAGUGGCUCUCAUCUGAUUGAGAUACAGUAUGUUAUAGCAUGUAAUUUGACUUAUUUUUUUAAGGUUACUGAUCUACUUUUAUAGAAGGCUACCUGUGGGAUUACGUUGAGUUUGGAAAUUAAUUAGUGUGUCUCAUGUUAACAUAUUGCAGUGUACAAGAAACAUUACCCACCAGCACUAGGAGAUGAAGUGUGGCGUCUUGAGAAAAUUGGAAAAGAUGGAAUUUUU